Molecule: ribosomal RNA, 498 nt
Filed under: uncultured bacterium
Lineage: Bacteria
Description: partial 16S ribosomal RNA
Rfam family: Bacterial small subunit ribosomal RNA
Source: RNAcentral
GACGAACGCUGGCGGCGUGCCUAAUACAUGCAAGUCGAACGAGAGCGACCGGUGCUUGCACUGGUCAAUCGAGUGGCGAACGGGUGAGUAACACGUGGGUAACCUGCCCAUCAGAGGGGGAUAACAUGCGGAAACGGAUGCUAACACCGCAUAGGCCCUCGAACCGCAUGGUGUGAUGAGGAAAAGAGGCGGAUGCUUCUGCUGUUGGGUGUUCUCGCGGUGCAUUAGCUGGUUGGUGUGGUAACGGCUCACCAAGGCCGCGAUGCAUAGCCGACCGGAGGGGGUGGUCGGCGGCAUGGGGGCGGAGACGCGGACCAAAGUCCUAAGGGAGGCAGCAGUAGGGAAUGUGCCGCAGUGGACGGAAGUCUGGCGGAGCGACGGCGCGCGUGUGAAGAAGGUGUUGGGAGCGUGAAAAUGUCUUGUUAGAGAAAAACAGCUGUCGGAGUUGAUGAAGGGGGCGUGACGGUAACUAGUCAGGAAGCCACGGCUAACUACGUG